UGGGGAAUUUUGCACAAUGGAGGAAACUCUGAUGCAGCGACGCCGCGUGAGUGAUGAAGAUCUUCGGAUUGUAAAACUCUGUCCUUAGUGAAGAUAAUGACAGUAACUAAGAAGCAAGCCCUGGCUAAAUACGUGCCAGCAGCCGCGGUAAUACGUAUGGGGCAAGCGUUGUCCGGAAUUAUUGGGCGUAAAGGGUACGUAGGCGGUUUAAUAAGUCCUAAUUAAAAGGCUAUGGCUCAACCAUAGUAUGGUUAGGAAACUGUUGAACUUGAGUAGAUGAGGGGAAAGUGGAAUUCCAUGUGUAGCGGUGAAAUGCGUAGAUAUAUGGAGGAACACCAAUGGCGAAGACAACUUUCUGGAAUCAAACUGACGCUGAGAUACGAAGGCGUGGGGAGCAAACAGG
RNAcentral lists this ribosomal RNA (403 nucleotides) under Fusobacteriota bacterium. RNAcentral's name for it is "Fusobacteria bacterium partial 16S ribosomal RNA". It matches the Rfam family "Bacterial small subunit ribosomal RNA", at positions 355 to 776 of the family's 1533-position model. Lineage: Bacteria; Fusobacteriati; Fusobacteriota. The record is from RNAcentral.